RNAcentral lists this small RNA (98 nucleotides) under Pedobacter sp. SG908. RNAcentral's name for it is "Flavo-1 RNA". It matches the Rfam family "Flavo-1 RNA". Lineage: Bacteria; Pseudomonadati; Bacteroidota; Sphingobacteriia; Sphingobacteriales; Sphingobacteriaceae. The record is from RNAcentral.
AAAUAAACCUUAUUGUAGCGGCUAUCCUUUUUGUUGCGCAGAUAAACAACCGAGCAAUAACAUUCACAAAAAGAUAAAAGCGGAAAGAAGGACUGCCU